RNAcentral lists this long non-coding RNA (970 nucleotides) under Homo sapiens (human). Its description in RNAcentral is "HSALNT0394028". Lineage: Eukaryota; Metazoa; Chordata; Mammalia; Primates; Hominidae. The record is from RNAcentral.
CCCCACUGUCUGUUUCUCUCCUUUCUCUUUCCUGCCUACCCCCUGCACAGUCACAGUUGUCAGUGGCACACACACAUUCGACCCCUUUUCAGGCUGCGCUGCUAGAAUGGAGUGAAUCUGAGACCUCACAGGAGUUGCUAUGUCUCACAGGAUGACUUCUUUUUCAUUCCGGGAAAAUGGAAAAGCAAAACAAAAACAAAACAGAACAGUAACUCAGGGCUCAUAAGGAUGGAUCUUCAGUGUUAUUGAAAUAACAGCCGGCUAACAGGAAUUGUUCAGCUCACUAGACAGUUGCAGGUUUAACAUAGGGGGGUAAUUGAAUUAGAUCAUUGUCAUAUUUGGACAAGGCUCAUGCUUGUUUACGUUAAGUUAUUAGAAACAACUUAAAUCACAAGGACUAUCAAGCAUGAAAGAGAUAAUUGAUAAAUAUUUUUACUGACAAUUAUACUAGCAUAAAAGAUUGUAGAAGAAUAUUUUUAAAUGUCCAAACUAUUAUUACCUGUUUGAAUUCUUAUAAAGCUUUGCGGUCUUUGUUUUUCUCUAAAGAACUUCUAAACUACAGAGGGUCAAGAAUGUUUUCAAUAAUUCCUAAUUGUCAUAAUAAGAUCCUGUCUUUUAAUCAACAUGAUGAUGUUUAACAUGUUUAUUGUCUAUUUUCUAAAGCUUGAAUCAUUAUCAGAUGCAGACAAGUGUUUGGUGUGCAUAGACUAGACUUGUCUUUCUAUCUAGAUUUUAAGCUCCACUAGGAAAAGAACUAUAUUUAGUCCAUUUCUUGUGAUUCUAUAAUAUGUGCACUGAGUAGGCACUCAAUAUAUACUUGCUGGUUUCUGUAGAGGCUUCAAAUUGUUAUAGCCAAGAGCACAGUCUCUGAAGCCAGAAUGCCUGUGUUCAAAUCUGGGCUUAGCCACUUACCAGCUAUAUGACCUUAGGCAAAUUCCUUCACCUCUCUGUGCCUCAAUUUCUUUAUCAC